UACGUAGGUCCCGAGCGUUGUCCGGAUUUAUUGGGCGUAAAGCGAGCGCAGGUGGUUUAUUAAGUCUGGUGUAAAAGGCAGUGGCUCAACCAUUGUAUGCAUUGGAAACUGGUAGACUUGAGUGCGGGAGAGGAGAGUGGAAUUCCAUGUGUAGCGGUGAAAUGCGUAGAUAUAUGGAGGAACACCGGUGGCGAAAGCGGCUCUCUGGCCUGUAACUGACACUGAGGCUCGAAAGCGUGGGGAGCAAACGGG
Molecule: ribosomal RNA, 252 nt
Filed under: uncultured bacterium
Lineage: Bacteria
Description: partial 16S ribosomal RNA
Rfam family: Bacterial small subunit ribosomal RNA
Source: RNAcentral